RNAcentral lists this long non-coding RNA (2163 nucleotides) under Rhinopithecus bieti (black snub-nosed monkey). RNAcentral describes it as "lncRNA (ENSRBIG00000046040.1)". The record is from RNAcentral. Lineage: Eukaryota; Metazoa; Chordata; Mammalia; Primates; Cercopithecidae.
UCAAGGUCAAAAUCCAACUAUUUUUGAGAAUCCUGAGAUCCAAUGAGCACAGUUCGAAGGCUGAAGAUAUUAACACUGGAGUAGGUGGCACACAGCCUCACAUCUCCUACCCAGACAGGCAGGUGCCAAGGACAUAGCAAAAGGCAGCAGUAUUUGUAUGUGAAAUUUCUACUUUAUAAAGCACAGCCAUGAGGCUACCUAUGUCUGCUAAAGCUGGAAAAUCCUUUUUUUUGUUUUGAAGAUCCUAGCUGGCUGCCUCCUUCCACUGAUGCUCCAGCCAGCAUUGGGGCACAGUGUGAUGGUCAGGGGCCAGGAGACGGCCAGCCCUUCACAGCUUUCCCUGGCAUCAACCCGAGGUAACUUAGCUGAUGCCCUGUGUCUCAGCUCUUCAUCUGGAAAUGGACUACACCUGUUGGUCUGGAUUGCAGCUGGAAUUGGAAGGGAAAUGCGUUUCCAUUGAAGGAAGAAGUAUAAGAGUGAGCAGGCAGGUAUCAGCAGAGCUCAAGAGAAUAAUGUCAACUUACAGGCAGGAGGAGGCAGACCAGCUAGGCAGACGUGCAGAAGUUAAGUGUGGUUUCAUGCAGAAACUUCCAAGUGGAUUCAAGAGCCAAAGACUUCAAGAAGUUGGUGUAAUUGUCACGUGGAAUAUGUUUGUAUUAAUUCAGAUCAUACCUACAAACAAUAUGGAGGAUUCAGAGAUAGGAGUUCCGGAGACGUGGGUCUGAUUCCAGCUUUGCCUCCUGCUAAAUAUCUAAUCCUGGGCAAGUCAUGUAGCCUCUGGGUGUUCCAGUCGGGCCACCUUUAAAAUGGGAAUAAUUCUGUCUACUUCACUUAUCUCAUAGAGCCAGGUGAGGACAUUCAUAUUUUGGCAUAUAAUGUAAUAAGGUUGUAGAUAAAGCGUUUAUUAGGAUAACGUCUUGGCUAACAGGUUGGGCAGACCAGUUGACAUCCUCAGGGUAUCAUUAGAAGAACCCGAAGGUCUUAUCCAAGUGUGUUUCCCACCAAUAAUUCUCACAUUUCCACCUUUAGAUCUUUUGUUAAGGAUCCUGUGGGAAACGUAGAUAGCAUAGGUUAUUAACCCCAUCAAGUCACAUUUCUAUUUCAAUCUACUUAUUUCACAUUUUUGUUACAACUUUUGAAGAAAAUGAAUUUCUUAUUGAAUUCAUUUUAGACUGCUAUUAGCUCAGAUUCACUUUGUGAGUUAGAAUGCCUCUUAGAAAUGUAACACCCAGGGAAAACUUCCGGGUGAGUCUUUCUUUUUUGAUAGUGCCACAUGAGUCCGCAGUUGGCUAACCCCCAUGAACAUGGACUUCAUCUUCUUUAGAUGCUUUAGGACAUGUGGCUAUGCAGUUAGGGAGCUGAGAUCGGAGGCAGGGGAGUGUAGGAAAAGUAAGUGAUCGUGGAGAGUGGAGUCAGAAGACAGGGUGGGGGAAGGAUGGUUCUGGAGCACUUCGUGUUCUGUCCCAGCCCGAUGAGGCCCAGGAGAACUUUCUCCAGCCGAGGAGGCCCAGGUGAACUUUCUCCACGUGGGGAGCUGUCGAGAACUUGAGCUUCCAGCAUAAACACAGGCUGAACCUGGCUUUGGGGAAUGUGGGCCUCCAGCCCAUUUACAAAAUAUCACCCUUUUUGUAUGGCUUGGAGGAGACUCUGGAGUGACUUAUGAAUUCCGUGGAGCCCUGCUGUAGCCAUUGGCAGUUCCCAAGCAGGAAGCCAGUGUCUCCAUUUCUUCCCAAAAUUCUCCCAACCACAUCCCACUUCACCUCCUGGCUGAGACAUCUUUUACUAUGAUCAUUUUACUGGUAGGAAAAAUGGGGUGCUAGAAAAGUUACCUGACUUUGCUGAAAUUCACACACUAGUUAAUGGCGGGGCUGGUGCUGGAGCCAAUGUUGGGCCUCAUAAAUGCCUACGAAAUGUGCUGAGACUGGCCACUCUUUUCUGCAGGCCGUCCUCAGGGUAGUUCAUGUAGCUGAUGACCUUGAGAAAUGAGGUAAUGUCUUCCCUCAUCCCCAAAGAGCAGACUUUCUUACUAUUUGCUAUAAAAGCAGUGGAUUCCCCAAACUCAGUGUUCCUCGGCUGUGACACAAACCCCCUUCAUGUGUGUAUUAAUUGAUCUGAGCCUGUUGGGUCAUUUCUGUGGAACUCAAGGGCAAGUGUAACUGAUGA